Molecule: long non-coding RNA, 267 nt
Filed under: Macaca mulatta (Rhesus monkey)
Lineage: Eukaryota; Metazoa; Chordata; Mammalia; Primates; Cercopithecidae
Description: lncRNA (ENSMMUG00000053971.1)
Source: RNAcentral
AUUUCUGCAUGUGUCACAGAGGCAUCCUUUGGUUCUAAAGGGAGCUGAGUUGGAUUCCACAAGCGUAUGGUCCUUGUAGCAUGUGAAUAGGAUUCAGUCACGGACGAGAAGGAAGGGUUCGGGGAGACUGUCACCGCCCUGUCCAGGCUAACACUCCAGCUGCCCAGGUGACAGGCUGGCCUGUGUUUGUGUUGUUGGUAACAGAUUUGCGAACUAGUGAUAUCAAUGACAGAGUCCAUUGCAAUAUUGCUUCAUCCUUUGGCUCAG